This is a long non-coding RNA of Malus domestica (apple), 878 nucleotides long. RefSeq lists it as uncharacterized. Lineage: Eukaryota; Viridiplantae; Streptophyta; Magnoliopsida; Rosales; Rosaceae. The record is from RefSeq and is a predicted model, not a curated record.
CAACACCACCACCCACCACCGGGGAUGGGUCUUUUCUCUUCCUCCUUGCACAAUGGCGUUCCCAUUGUUUAAAGGAUUCUCCAGCGAGUUCCUACUUCCUCCGACAUGGAAAAUGAACUCAUAUCAUUUUCCCAGUUUUCGACGAUGACCGACGAUAUCGAGCACUUUUCCCGACCAACUCCGGCCAUUUCACGACCUCCAAUAGGUGCAUUUACUAUGGUGUUUCCGUCAUGUGGAUGUUAAUUCCUCUGCAACUCGUUUUGGGCAAAGCUUCUUCUAUGAGCUUGAUGUGGAAACCAAGGCGAGUUUUCUCAGGUUACAGUCUUGCACAAAGAGCAUUCCAAGCAAGCUGCAGGAAAUUCAUUAAGACAGCAAGCCUCCUAAAACAGGGUUCCUUUUAAUACCUUGUGAUCAGCUCAAGAUGGAACUUGCCAUAUGGCUUAUUGGUCAGUGCCCUCCAUCUUUCCAGUAACAGUGUUGCUAAACAUAAGUUGUCUAAGAUCCGUUGUUGUACCAUGAGACAAGGUGAGAGGGGGAGUCCUCAUUAUUGUCCCUCACCGAUGUGAGAUAGCGCAUCAGCUAUUGGUUGUUAAACCUGGCAUUGGUUGCUGGGGCUUUUUGUGGAUUGUUGCGUCAUCUCAUUUCGUAUGGUAGACCCAAUGCGUUACACCUGGUUUUUUGUGCUGAGCCAGUUGCUGGUCGGUCAUGCUGUGGAAAAAAAAAACCUUUGUUUUCCUUCAAUUUCUUUAGACGGUUUGUGUAGUAUGUGUGUAUGUAUUGACUCAGAUCGGAGGACAAAGCUGGACAAAACUUUUGACACCGUUAGAUUUUAGCACUUUUCACGGCUGAGAUGGUUUAUGACAAUAUGGUUUCUUUUA